UUUGAACGAAGGCUGCGAGAUCUGAGACNUUCGAGCUANAAGAAANGGACGGAACCGUCUGACGCCCUCGGGAAUCAGUCGAACGACGCGCGAACGCGUCUCGAUCGUCGGAGCGUAAAAGUCCGGCUCGAGGCGUCUAGUAGUCGCGUUCGUAAGGCGCAUUUCUCGAGGGUUAGCGCCGCGACCGAUGCGAACGGCCGACGACGCCGGCGAGUUGAGGUCGAACGCCCUUCGCGGGUAUUCGUAACCAGCUCGUUCGGUAGAUAUUGUCGGAUCUCUAUUAAUUAAGCAUCGAGCGAAUGACUAUCAAAUACGUCGGCGUAAAACGCUCGACGAGCGGGGGAGAUUCGGCCGGUCUUACGGUACGUGCUCGCGGGUUCUCGUUCGGCGCGGGAUCUUUUCCCGAUGACCCCUUGGACGCUACCGCGUCUAAGGCGUCCGCGGGGCCCGAGUCGCCCCCCCGUCCUGAUUGGUGUUGAAACCCGUAUGAUGGAGUCUAAGCGUUAGAGCUAAGAUUUUGCCCUGCCAAAGGCUGUAUCCGGGAAAAAGGGAAAAGGUGGUGCCCCUGACUGCCGAGGGGCGGUUCCGUGCGUUUCCCGGCGGGGGGUGGGGUUUGGCCGUGGACUGUACAGGAGGCUGUUGUGGUUUUAAUUAUUAAGACCCUUCCGCUUGCGGUGAGGUUACUAAUGGGUGACGUUUUCGUGGGCUGGGGGUGGCCCAGUGUAAAGUAUGUGUGGGGUGGGCGCAAUCGGUUCCCGUGGUUCUCGUGCUGCGGGUUUGGUCUUGGAUGAGGUGAGCUUUAUUCAGUUUUGA
RNAcentral lists this ribosomal RNA (813 nucleotides) under Xiphinema pachydermum. Its description in RNAcentral is "partial 28S ribosomal RNA". Lineage: Eukaryota; Metazoa; Nematoda; Enoplea; Dorylaimida; Longidoridae. The record is from RNAcentral.